GUCACUCUUUAGCUAGGGAGCUUUAAGCAAAGGACCUAACUACCUUCUCUAUAUGAAAGAGGUAUCUAGGCCUUGACUUACACAAACCUCCAAACCAUGUUGAGACAUUAUCUUCUUUGUACAGAUGAGGAAGGUGAGGUAGAAGAUAAAUGAGUAGUCCAAGAUCACAACAUCUGGGAGGUGGUCAAACUAGAAUUUGAAGCUAUGUCAUCCUACCUCUCAUAAAAUGAUUUUGAUGGCUCAAGAGAUUUUUUUUUGAAGAUUUGGUAGACUCACAAAUUGCUGGUAUGUGACAGGAACUCCAUGAACUUCCAGCCAUCCCAGGCUCCUCACCUCUCCCUGUGCACACCAGGUCUUAUUACAUCUGAGGUCUUGGUGCGCCCUCUGGAAUGUCCUUUUUGGCCCCUGUAGAUCUGGAGAUCUCCUUUUCACCCUUCAAAGCCUACUACAAACACAGGAACCUCUACGCUUCUUCCCAGACCAAACACUCUGCCUCUCCCAGGGAGACUUUCCUAAUCCUUCUCUUUUAUUUCCUCUUUACCAAAAGACCCCCCUGAAAACAUAGAUAGUACUUUCUGUUUCUCCUACUGCACUCCCUAAUGGUGGAGAGCCAUGCUGGGCCAGUUAGUGAAGGGGCUGGCAAAUCCCCUUAUAUGACAAAGCCUGUGAUAGGCACUGGGGAUACAAUGGUGGAAAAUACCUGUCUUCAAAGCCCAGAGGUCAAGUUCAUUGCUGAGGACUUAAGAUCACACUGAAGCCUGGAAAAAGAUGAAACUUGGCAGGAGAACUUCCUAAAGAAGACAAUUGGAAGCUGGGCACAAUAGCACAUGCCUAUAAUCCCGGCUACUCAGGAGGCUGAGGCAAGAGUAUGAAAAGUUCAAGGCUAGCCUUUGCAACUUAAGAAAGACCUUGUCUCAAAAUUAAUUUUAAAAGGGCUGGGGAUGAAGCUCAGUAGUAGAAAGCCCCUGGGUUCAAUCCCCAGUGACACAAAGAUAUCUGGAUCUGAGUUUGUAAGGAUAGAGAGAAUUAAAAAUUGGCAAAGAAGAGUUUUUAUAAUACCCUAGUAUAUAUAGGAAAUUCUAAUUUGGAAAUUCUACAGUAUGCCUGGAUAAAAAUGACAGAUUUAGCAAGUAAAAACAGGACACCGAGUUAAAUGUGAAUUUCAGAUAAAUAAGAAUUAUUUAAUAUAUGUAUAUUCAUGCAAUAUUUGGGAUGAUCUUUCUGUCUUCCUUUUGGGGGGGUACAGGUGAGUGGGUUAUGGGGAUUGAACCCAGGUAUGCUCUGCCACUGAGCCCUUUUCAUUUAUUUAUUUAUUUAUUUUUGACACAGGGUCUCUUUAAGUUGUCCAGGCUGGCUGUGAACUUGCAAUCCUCCUGCCUCAGCCUUCUGAGUAGCUCAGAUCACAGGCUGUGGCACCCUUGUACUUUUCUAAGAUUGUUAUUUACCUGAAAUUUUACUGGACAUUCUAAUUCUAUCUGGCAACCGUACAACAGGGACAAUCAGGACCUCGCAAGAGGUUACCUGAAGACAACGCCCACCAUUCCAGCCCACCCCUCCCCAAACUCACAUCACACAAGGGCCUUUCGGAGUAUUCCAUACUCUGGAAUACUAAGCACUUAAGUCACACAACACCUAUGGUGGUCAGAUUGGCUCCCAAGAUCUUAAAGGAGUAUAAAUAAAGCUCCGUCACAACCAACAGGCAAAAUCGGUGACCUGGACCCAGCAAUGCCCUGAGCCUACAACAACCUAUUCCCAGAAUGGCCCGCCUGAAAACAGCAGGAACGCACUGGCACAUAUGGUAAGGCAAGGACCUUAUACAAAAUAAGGACCGGUCCCCACAAUGCCCUGCGGCAAUUCUUCCCAGGAUGCUUCGGGCCUAUAAUGACCACCUUCCAAGACGCCCUACACCGAAGCACUGCCGACUUCCAGGAUGCUCAGUAGAGGGCGCAGGACAAAAGGGACCGGACCCCCACAGGGAUUUAGGGUAAUCCUUCCCAGGAUACACCAGGCCUAUAACGACCAGCAGACCGACUCCAACGCUGUUAAGACGCAGUGCUGGCUUUCCCAGGAUGCCCCAGGAGCGUGCGGAGCCGCGUAGGGGAAGGAAAGGAGUCCGGGUCUUGCCCUCAGGUCAUCACGGCUCAAGACCGCUGCAGGCUCCUCGGUGACGGCUGCCGCCGCUCCCAUCAUGCAGCGGGGCCGUAGCGCCCGCUUCCCAGCAUGCCCCGCGCACCCCGACCGCGGACACUCACCGGGGCUGGCGGCCCCAGCUCCGGUUCGGCGGUGGCGGCUGCACGCCCAGACUCUGCGCCUGCGUUGCAAGCAGAGUAGGAGGGAGAGCAAGGGGCGUGAGGAGCCUAGGGCGCUUGCGCAGCCAGAUGGACCAUUCCUGUCGCACUGUGGGAAGAGGGGCUAUCCGAGUCGGGCCACGGAGGGAACCCGCGCACGGGUUGCCGUGCUUUGCCCCUCACUGCCCGCGUUUACUUGGUACAGUCCGCGGCCUGAAGGAUCGAGAAGCUCCAGGGCUCGCGCGUGCGUGUGCGUGGCUGGAACGCGCUUUAUGAAAAUGGGAUGCGUUGUGGGUGGAGGGCGACCCCUCGGCCGGGAUCCUGGAUCCGAGGCCUUCUCAUUUACAUAAUCCUAGCGCGGGACAAAGGAGGGCCUCCGGCACUGGAAGGAGUGAUUUGCAUAUGCCUGGGAGAGGCUGUACUCUCGAGCGCAGUGAUUAGCAUAUGGGGGGGGGGGGCUUGAGUAAAGCGCAUGCGCUUAGGAACUGCAGACUAGUGCCAAGUGCCUAAAUCUUGUCUUAUUUGGGUAUCAGUUUACAUCCGAAGACAGUUGGCAAGGGCCAUGAUCUCUAUCAAUCUUUACACCCCUCCAAGCAGGAUAAAUAUUUAUUGAUCUCUUCUGUGCCAGGCGUGUGCUGGUGAACACUUUUUUUUUUUUUUGCAGUGAAUAGGACAGAUCUGGCCCCAUCUUCGUGGCGCUGUGGUCAACGGAAGAUCUACACAUAAUUAGACUACUACCUAAAACGGUCACACCUGGAAUGGUUGGCGCAUAGGAAGCUGUGGGUGCCAGAAGAAGCGCCCGCCUCAGCCUGGGAUACCGGAAAAACUUCCAAAAGGUGGUGAUUUUUAAGCCAAGUAUGAAUAGGUGCCAACUAGAAUGGGAGUCUUUCUGGCAGAAGGAACAUCAAGGUCAAAAGCCCAGAGGCAGGCAAAACAACAACAACAACAACAGCAAGUACAUAGUUUGAAGAAGUGAAAGCAGCUUACUGUCCCUGAAACACAAUUGGAGAAGGGAAAUUCUACGGGCGAUUUUAAAGAGCUUAGACUUUAUUCUGAGUAUAGAAAGCCGUUGCAAGGUUCCAGCCUUCUAGGAAGAAGUAACUUUGUCACGCAGCAAUUUAAAACUCUUCCAUGGAGUCCCAUUACAACUUAAAAAAAAAAAACAAAAAAACCCUAAACUCAUGUAUCAUAGCUUCAGGGUCUGUCAUGUGGUCUGGCCCUAUUUCUCCUUCUGGCCUCACCUACCCUCCUUUUUAUCCACUCCUGUCUAGCUCCACUUGACUUUAGAUAGCCAAUCUCUUUACCAUCUUGCGCCUUUGAUCUUGCUGUUCCCUUUGCCUGAAAAUGCUUUUCCAUCGGAUCUUUUAAUAGCUGUGCUCACAAUUCCUAUCUUGAAACACAUGUCAACUUAAGAGCCUUUCCCUGAUUAUAACAGCAUCUUCAGAUUGGAGUUUGAACAAAGCAAGACUGGCCUUGAGUUGUUUGUUGAAACUGGAGCGAAAGGCGCAUGGGACUUCAUGGCCUGUUCUCUCUACUGCUGUAUAGUUGAAGUUUUCAUAGUAACAUGUUAAAAUGGUACUGCACAUCUCUACAUAUUAUUUUUUAAAUUUAUUUUUGGUGGUACUGGGAAUUGAGCCCAGAAGCAUUUUACUCCUGAUCCACAUCCCCAGCCCUUUUUAUUCUUUAUUUUGAGACAGGGUCUCCCUAAGUUGUCAGCCGACCUAGAACUUGGGCUUUUUCUGCUUCAGCCUCCUGAAUAGCUCUGCCACCAUUGAAGCCAGAAUUAGACAGGCAGUCAGUAUAGACAGGUAAAUUGAGUUAGGUAGGAUCAAGGAUGCCAAUUUGAGUCCAGAAAGUUGGAGAGCUAUUAAAAUGCUAAUGCAGGGGGAGGGGGCUGGGGUUGUGGCUCAGUGGUAGAGCGCUUGCCUAGCAUGCACGAGGCACUGGGUUUGAUCCUCAGCACCACAUAGAUGUAAAAUAAAAAUAUUGUGUCCACUUAAAACUUGAGAAUAAAUAUUUUUUUAAAAAUGCUAAUGCCUUUAGAGCCCUUCCUUCACUGUUAUCAAGAUAACCUGCCCCUGUUCAAACCUGUUGUUAAGGUAACCUGUCCCUACAGGGA
RNAcentral lists this long non-coding RNA (4407 nucleotides) under Marmota monax (woodchuck). The stretch from base 4185 to 4253 matches the Rfam family "tRNA". The record is from RNAcentral. Lineage: Eukaryota; Metazoa; Chordata; Mammalia; Rodentia; Sciuridae.